CGUGCCACUUGAGGCGUUGCAGUCCGACGUUGCGUUGAGGCUGUGUCACAAGGUGGCAGAGCAUAAAAGGUCUACAUCAUCAUCAUCUGCGGUCUAUACCUACAAC
RNAcentral lists this small nucleolar RNA (106 nucleotides) under Cottoperca gobio. RNAcentral's name for it is "Small nucleolar RNA SNORA17 (ENSCGOG00000008419.1)". It matches the Rfam family "Small nucleolar RNA SNORA17". Rfam says of the family: snoRNA ACA 17 belongs to the H/ACA family of snoRNAs and is predicted to guide pseudouridylation of the 28S rRNA at positions U4659 and U4598. It shares the same host gene together with ACA43. Lineage: Eukaryota; Metazoa; Chordata; Actinopteri; Perciformes; Bovichtidae. The record is from Rfam by way of RNAcentral.